This 86-nucleotide transfer RNA is filed under the name Scardovia wiggsiae F0424. RNAcentral's name for it is "tRNA-Ser". It matches the Rfam family "tRNA". From Rfam's summary of the family: Transfer RNA (tRNA) molecules are approximately 80 nucleotides in length. Their secondary structure includes four short double-helical elements and three loops (D, anti-codon, and T loops). The record is from RNAcentral. Lineage: Bacteria; Bacillati; Actinomycetota; Actinomycetes; Bifidobacteriales; Bifidobacteriaceae.
GGACAGGUGUCCGAGCGGUCGAAGGAAACGGUCUUGAAAACCGUCGAACGAAAGUUCCGUGGGUUCGAAUCCCACCCUGUCCGCCC